UACGAGUGCCCCAAGCGUUAUCCGGAAUUAUUGGGCGUAAAGGGCGCGCAGGCGGCUACGCACGUCCGUUGUGAAAUCGCUCGGCUCAACUGGGCGGGGUCAGCGGAUACGGCGUAGCUGGAGCAAGCUAGGGGGCAAUGGAAUUCCCGGUGUAGUGGUGGAAUGCGUAGAUAUCGGGAGGAACACCAGUGGCGAAGGCGGUUGCCUGGAGCUUUGCUGACGCUGAGGCGCGAAAGCGUGGGGAGCGAUCCGG
Molecule: ribosomal RNA, 253 nt
Filed under: uncultured bacterium
Lineage: Bacteria
Description: partial 16S ribosomal RNA
Rfam family: Bacterial small subunit ribosomal RNA
Source: RNAcentral